This 492-nucleotide ribosomal RNA is filed under the name uncultured bacterium. RNAcentral describes it as "partial 16S ribosomal RNA". It matches the Rfam family "Bacterial small subunit ribosomal RNA", at positions 30 to 507 of the family's 1533-position model. The record is from RNAcentral.
AUUGAACGCUGGCGGCAUGCUUUACACAUGCAAGUCGAACGGUAACAGGCCUUCGGGUGCUGACGAGUGGCGAACGGGUGAGUAAUGCAUCGGAACGUGCCCAGAGGUGGGGGAUAAUGCAGCGAAAGCUGUGCUAAUACCGCAUGUGAUCUGAGGAUGAAAGCGGGGGACCAGGCAGCAAUGUUUGGCCUCGCGCCUUUGGAGCGGCCGAUGUCAGAUUAGGUAGUUGGUGGGGUAAAGGCCUACCAAGCCGACGAUCUGUAGCUGGUCUGAGAGGACGACCAGCCACACUGGGACUGAGACACGGCCCAGACUCCUACGGGAGGCAGCAGUGGGGAAUUUUGGACAAUGGGCGCAAGCCUGAUCCAGCAAUGCCGCGUGCGGGAAGAAGGCCUUCGGGUUGUAAACCGCUUUUGUACGGAAAGAAAAGGCUCUGGCUAAUACCUGGGGCUGAUGACGGUACCGUAAGAAUAAGCACCGGCUAACUACGUG